CCACAACUGAGCUGGACACGUUUGCUGGAGUACUGGAGGAGAUGGAGCCGGUGUGAUGGAGGCGCGGGUGAGGGGAAUCGAGCUCCCCUCGGUCCGUGGCGGUCUGCAGGGACACGGGUUUCUCCAAGCAGUGGCGAUAUGGAAAGGGAGAUAAAAAGGGUGCUGGUGAAAUAUACAAGUUAAGUGUGGAGGGAUGGUGAAAAACGAGAUAUAUCCUGACAGUCAUAAAAGAGGAAAACCCGUCUUCCUGUCCUUGGAGCCAGGAUUUCCGCAGUAAAGUCCGCAGAGAGCGCUGAGGUGUCAGCGAAACAUUACUCCUGUCCCAUGACCUCUGCAGGCCUCCGCUUCCACUCGCAGACAGACAGGAGACUGUGAAUCUGUAGCCUUCCUCUAAUACGCUUCCACUCGCGAUCCAGAAAUAACUUACACGUAAACACAUGGGAAUUUAUCAGAAUGUUUUAUUUUUUUUUUAUAGUUAGAAUUAUAUCAGGUAUAACACACAAAAAUCACAAAAUGUUUUAGACAAGUCUGGCUCAGUUCCUUAAUGUUUUCCUUUGCUUUUUUUUUUUUUUUUCAUUUAAUCUUUUCUUUCUUUUUUUUUUUAUACAGUAAAACAAACAAAAAAAUGGCAA
Long non-coding RNA from Onychostoma macrolepis, 632 nucleotides. RefSeq lists it as uncharacterized. The transcript has 2 exons. Lineage: Eukaryota; Metazoa; Chordata; Actinopteri; Cypriniformes; Cyprinidae. The record is from RefSeq and is a predicted model, not a curated record.